UACGUAGGGUGCAAGCGUUAUCCGGAAUUAUUGGGUUUAAAGGACGCGCAGGCGGUUUCUUAAGUCAGAGGUGAAAGUUUGCGGCUCAACCGUAAAAUUGCCUUUGAUACUGGGAUGACUAGAGAUGAUUCGACGUGGAUGGAAUGUGUGGUGUAGCGGUGAAAUGCGUAGAUAUCACACGGAACACCAAUUGCGAAGGCAGUUCACGAGAAUUUAUCUGACGCUCAGGCGUGAAGGUAUGGGGAGCAAACAGG
This 254-nucleotide ribosomal RNA is filed under the name uncultured bacterium. Its description in RNAcentral is "partial 16S ribosomal RNA". It matches the Rfam family "Bacterial small subunit ribosomal RNA", at positions 524 to 776 of the family's 1533-position model. The record is from RNAcentral.